Molecule: ribosomal RNA, 241 nt
Filed under: uncultured bacterium
Lineage: Bacteria
Description: partial 16S ribosomal RNA
Rfam family: Bacterial small subunit ribosomal RNA
Source: RNAcentral
UACGUAGGGUGCAAGCGUUAAUCGGAAUUACUGGGCGUAAAGCGUGCGCAGGCGGUUAUGUAAGACAGAUGUGAAAUGCCCGGGCUUAACCUGGGAACUGCAUUUGUGACUGCAUGGCUAGAGUUUGGCAGAGGGGGGGUAGAAUUCCACGUGUAGCAGUGAAAUGCGUAGAUAUGUGGAGGAACACCGAUGGCGAAGGCAGCCCCCUGGGUCAAGACUGACGCUCAUGCACGAAAGCGUG